This 231-nucleotide ribosomal RNA is filed under the name uncultured bacterium. RNAcentral's name for it is "partial 16S ribosomal RNA". It matches the Rfam family "Bacterial small subunit ribosomal RNA", at positions 15 to 238 of the family's 1533-position model. The record is from RNAcentral.
GAUCCUGGCUCCGGACGAACGCUGGCGGCGUGCCUAAUACAUGCAAGUAGAACGCUGAAGGAGGAGCUUGCUUCUCUGGAUGAGUUGCGAACGGGUGAGUAACGCGUAGGUAACCUGCCUGGUAGCGGGGGAUAACUAUUGGAAACGAUAGCUAAUACCGCAUAAUAGUAGAUGUUGCAUGGCAUUUGCUUAAAAGGUGCAAUUGCAUCACUACCAGAUGGACCUGCGUUG